Molecule: ribosomal RNA, 472 nt
Filed under: uncultured bacterium
Lineage: Bacteria
Description: bacterial SSU rRNA
Rfam family: Bacterial small subunit ribosomal RNA
Source: RNAcentral
UGGGGAAUUUUGGACAAUGGGCGCAAGCCUGAUCCAGCCAUGCCGCGUGCGGGAAGAAGGCCUUCGGGUUGUAAACCGCUUUUGUCAGGGAAGAAACGCUCUGGGCUAAUACCCUGGGGUAAUGACGGUACCUGAAGAAUAAGCACCGGCUAACUACGUGCCAGCAGCCGCGGUAAUACGUAGGGUGCAAGUGUUAAUCGGAAUUACUGGGCGUAAAGCGUGCGCAGGCGGUUAUGCAAGACAGAUGUGAAAUCCCCGGGCUCAACCUGGGAACUGCAUUUGUGACUGUAUAGCUAGAGUACGGUAGAGGGGGAUGGAAUUCCGCGUGUAGCAGUGAAAUGCGUAGAUAUGCGGAGGAACACCGAUGGCGAAGGCAAUCCCCUGGACCUGUACUGACGCUCAUGCACGAAAGCGUGGGGAGCAAACAGGAUUAGAUACCCCCGUAGUCCCUGAGCGGGCUGGCAAGGCGCAU